UCAACCUCCAACAUAAGUAAAACCCUCUUCCUCUUCCUCUUCCUCUUCCUCUUCCUCCCAAAUCAAAGUUUUCCUUCAAAUUUUGCAGGCACAAAGAGAGAUGCUGCGCACAUCACUAACAAAGUUCUCUUCUCUGCGUUCUCUCUCCUCCUCAAAUGGGUUGUUUUCUUCGCAAUCUUGUCGUGCAUACAGCUUAAUUCCCAUGGUGAUAGAGCACUCUUCUCGAGGAGAGAGAGCCUAUGAUAUCUUCUCUCGUCUCCUCAAGGAGCGUAUCAUCUGCAUCAAUGGCCCCAUUGCUGAUGAUACUGCCCAUGUUGUGGUUGCUCAGUUACUUUACCUUGAAUCUGAAAACCCAUCUAAGCCUAUUCAUAUGUACCUUAACUCCCCUGGUGGUGCUGUCACUGCUGGUCUUGCAAUUUAUGAUACAAUGCAGUACAUCCGUUCUCCAAUUAAUACGAUAUGUUUAGGACAGGCUGCAUCAAUGGCUUCACUCCUUUUGGCAGCCGGUACCAAGGGUGAGAGAAGGGCCCUCCCAAAUGCAACAGUUAUGGUCCACCAACCAUCUGGUGGUUACAGUGGGCAAGCAAAAGAUAUGACUAUUCACACAAAACAAAUUGUCCGUGUUUGGGAUUCAUUGAAUGAAUUAUACUCUAAGCAUACAGGGCAGCCUGUUGACAAUAUUCAAAAAUACAUGGAUAGAGAUUAUUUUAUGACACCGGAAGAGGCUAAAGAGUUUGGGAUUAUUGAUGAAGUCAUUGAUCAGAGACCCAUAGCUUUGGUAAGUGAUGCUGUUGCGAAUGAAGACAAAGACAAAGGUUCAAACUAGGAUACACGAGUGAGUGCAUCCUGGUUGGCAAAAGCUGUUUUUUCUGGGAGAUAAACAUUACAACAUGUUUAUCUCAGGACUCAGGGUUGCACAACUUGGAUUGGAGCCGGUGUGUGUGAAGUAUUUCCCUAUACCUAUGCUGAUGGCUUAAUCUCGAAAGAAAACUUUCUUCUAACGUAGUUGAUCAAUAAUGGUUGAACAUCAUUCAGAAAAACGCUGAAAUUUGGAGAGUAGAUAGAGAGAAGCUCUCGUCGAUUUUAGCUGAAUUAAGAUAUGCAGCACUGAUAAAAAAAAAAAAAGCUGGAUAGAGCGAUCUUUGAACAUGGCACAGAUUUUCGGUGCUCGACCAUGCUAUUGUAUUCUGUAGAUGGAACAAUUUCAGCUCUGUAUUUGUCGUCCUCAGAUCGUAUUGAGUUUUUUCAUUUUUAUGUUAUGCGACCUCAGAACGUAUUUGUCGUCCUAAAUGAAAAUGUUCUGAGAUGAUUUUUUCCACA
Beta vulgaris subsp. vulgaris (sugar beet) is the source of this 1320-nucleotide RNA transcript. It is a transcript of the gene named ATP-dependent Clp protease proteolytic subunit 2, mitochondrial, with no coding region annotated. The transcript is spliced from 4 exons. NCBI's taxonomy places the organism in Eukaryota, Viridiplantae, Streptophyta, Magnoliopsida, Caryophyllales, Amaranthaceae. The record is from RefSeq and is a predicted model, not a curated record.